This 404-nucleotide unclassified non-coding RNA is filed under the name Hevea brasiliensis (rubber tree). Lineage: Eukaryota; Viridiplantae; Streptophyta; Magnoliopsida; Malpighiales; Euphorbiaceae. The record is from RNAcentral.
AUGUCACCUCCAGGACCACAUGGUGUGAAGAAUGCUUACUGCUUGCUCAAUUUUGGGGAUAGUAUUACGACUGAUCACAUUUCACCAGCUGGUAGCAUCCACAAAGACAGUCCUGCUGCCAGAUACCUUGUGGAACGUGGUGUUGACAGAAGGGACUUUAACUCUUAUGGAAGUCGCCGUGGUAAUGAUGAGGUGAUGGCAAGGGGCACCUUUGCCAACAUUCGCAUUGUCAACAAACUGUUGGGAGGAGAAGUUGGACCUAAGACAAUUCAUAUCCCUAGUGGAGAGAAACUCUCUGUUUUUGAUGUUGCCAUGAGGUACAAAAGUGAGGGACAUGAUACAAUUAUCCUGGCUGGUGCUGAGUAUGGGAGUGGCAGUUCUCGUGAUUGGGCUGCCAAGGGUCC